Mauremys mutica (yellowpond turtle) is the source of this 1050-nucleotide long non-coding RNA. RefSeq lists it as uncharacterized. The record is from RefSeq and is a predicted model, not a curated record. The transcript has 3 exons. Lineage: Eukaryota; Metazoa; Chordata; Testudines; Geoemydidae.
AUGUUACUCUGUUAGUGGCACUUCCUGUCUAGGUUCUCACUCUGCACCCAUCCAUGUGGUUUCUGAGCACCUGACCUGUUCAUUAAAGUGAACACGAGAGCGAGACGAUCUCUAGUCAUCUCUUCGGCGCUGCUUCUCUCCUCCCCGCUUCUAUAGAGAGGUUUAUGGGGGGGGGCUGGUUUCUAAAUAUCUGGGUUUGAGGAGUGGCUGGCUUACAGCAGUCGGUUUCGCGCCCAUUCAGAAGGAGCUGGCUUUUGUGUCCCCUCCAGACACCAGCUCCCCAGUUUGUGCACCAGUAGCCAAGGAAGCUCUGCCUUUUCUUCCCUUGAGUCUCCCGCUGAAAGUGGAACACAGCUACUGUGGUAGGUCACAGUGACACAGGCGGGGGCGUCCCUCAGGUAACCUGGGCCAUUCGUGGGCAGGCUGUGAAGAUAAGAGCUGAAGACUCAGAUCUGCCCCUAUAUCUAACAGCGACCUAGCAGUGAAAGUGCAGCGCAUGGUGACACAAUCUGUGCAGCUGAAUGAGUGAGCGGCUGUCGGGACCAGUGGGAGCUUGUUGAAGUUUCAGCCAGCUGCUCUUCAACCACGUGCUGAUCUGACCACGGCACUCGACUCGCAGGGAGAUGGACCUGGAGCGAAGGGGAGGAGAUGCCACUAAGCCAGCUGGGUUCGCUUGUCCCUAUAGGAAGUGGAGGUGAAGUGGGACAUCCACAGCCCAAGCAGCAGAGAAGGGGAGCUGUUCUCGCUGCAGAGGGUAGCAUCAGAGGAUUUCCUCCAGAGGCCCAGAGGGGAACGGGCUUACCAGCAGCCGUUGCUAAACCUGUAAAACAGGCCAGUGCACCACGAACAGGAGAGUUUGAUCUGAAAAGGGAGCUAAGACAUUUCAAACAGGACAAAGUAGCAGCUGCCCUUAAUGGUUUUAAAAAUUAAAAUAAACCUAAAAAUAAUGGACUAUUUUUCAACUAUUAGAUUACAUCAUAUUACGACCUGUCAGGAGUCGAGGUACAUGCUACGCACCUGAUUGGAAUGGGCGUGAACAACACACCUCAA